RNAcentral lists this ribosomal RNA (196 nucleotides) under uncultured Lactococcus sp. RNAcentral describes it as "partial 16S ribosomal RNA". It matches the Rfam family "Bacterial small subunit ribosomal RNA", at positions 337 to 524 of the family's 1533-position model. Lineage: Bacteria; Bacillati; Bacillota; Bacilli; Lactobacillales; Streptococcaceae. The record is from RNAcentral.
UCCUACGGGAGGCAGCAGUAGGGAAUCUUCGGCAAUGGACGAAAGUCUAACCUAGCAACGCCGCGCGAGUGAAGAAGGUUUUCGGAUCGUAAAACUCUGUUGGUAGAGAAGAACGUUGGUGAGAGUGGAAAGCUCAUCAAGUGACGGUAACUACCCAGAAAGGGACGGCUAACUACGUGCCAGCAGCCGCGGUAAU